ACCUGUCUCUCCUAGUUUG
Molecule: unclassified non-coding RNA, 19 nt
Filed under: Mus musculus (house mouse)
Lineage: Eukaryota; Metazoa; Chordata; Mammalia; Rodentia; Muridae
Description: oocyte_clustered_small_RNA3425
Source: RNAcentral